This 489-nucleotide ribosomal RNA is filed under the name uncultured Cellulomonas sp. Its description in RNAcentral is "partial 16S ribosomal RNA". The record is from RNAcentral. Lineage: Bacteria; Bacillati; Actinomycetota; Actinomycetes; Micrococcales; Cellulomonadaceae.
CACGUAGUUAGCCGGCGCUUCUUCUGCAGGUACCGUCACUUUCGCUUCUUCCCUGCUGAAAGCGGUUUACAACCCGAAGGCCGUCAUCCCGCACGCGGCGUCGCUGCAUCAGGCUUGCGCCCAUUGUGCAAUAUUCCCCACUGCUGCCUCCCGUAGGAGUCUGGGCCGUGUCUCAGUCCCAGUGUGGCCGGUCGCCCUCUCAGGCCGGCUACCCGUCGUCGCCUUGGUGGGCCAUUACCCCACCAACAAGCUGAUAGGCCGCGAGUCCAUCCUCCACCGAUAAAUCUUUCCAGACGCUACAGAUGCCCGUGCGUCUCGUAUCCGGUAUUAGACCCCGUUUCAAGGCUUAUCCCAGAGUGAAGGCAGGUUACUCACGUGUUACUCACCCGUUCGCCACUGACUCCCCCAGCAAGCUGAGUUCACCGUUCGACUUGCAUGUGUUAAGCACGCCGCCAGCGUUCGUCCCUGACGCCAGGACGUACAAACUCU